CCCUAGCCCUGAUAGAAGUGGAAAUCCUUUUGUGCUCGGGUUCAGCAUAAAAGAUUAGAACGGAUAGCGGGAAAUAGC
RNAcentral lists this small RNA (78 nucleotides) under Flavobacterium frigidimaris. Its description in RNAcentral is "Flavo-1 RNA". It matches the Rfam family "Flavo-1 RNA". The record is from RNAcentral. Lineage: Bacteria; Pseudomonadati; Bacteroidota; Flavobacteriia; Flavobacteriales; Flavobacteriaceae.